UACGGAGGGUGCGAGCGUUGCUCGGAAUCACUGGGCGUAAAGCGCACGUAGGCGGAUCUUUAAGUCAGGGGUGAAAUCCCAAGGCUCAACCUUGGAACUGCCUUUGAUACUGGGGAUCUCGAGUCCGGAAGAGGUGAGUGGAACUGCGAGUGUAGAGGUGAAAUUCGUAGAUAUUCGCAAGAACACCAGUGGCGAAGGCGGCUCACUGGUCCGGUACUGACGCUGAGGUGCGAAAGCGUGGGGAGCAAACAGG
This 253-nucleotide ribosomal RNA is filed under the name uncultured bacterium. RNAcentral's name for it is "partial 16S ribosomal RNA". It matches the Rfam family "Bacterial small subunit ribosomal RNA", at positions 524 to 776 of the family's 1533-position model. The record is from RNAcentral.